AGCGCAGGCGGUUUCUUAAGUCUGAUGUGAAAGCCUUCGGCUUAACCGGAGAAGAGCAUCGGAAACUGGGAGACUUGAGUGCAGAAAAGGACAGUGGAACUCCAUGUGUAGCGGUGAAAUGCGUAGAUAUAUGGAAGAACACCAGUGGCGAAGGCGGCUGUCUGGUCUGUAACUGACGCUGAGGCUCGAAAAACAUGGGUAGCAACA
Molecule: ribosomal RNA, 207 nt
Filed under: uncultured bacterium
Lineage: Bacteria
Description: partial 16S ribosomal RNA
Rfam family: Bacterial small subunit ribosomal RNA
Source: RNAcentral